Non-coding RNA from Taeniopygia guttata (zebra finch), 2587 nucleotides. The record is from RefSeq and is a predicted model, not a curated record. Lineage: Eukaryota; Metazoa; Chordata; Aves; Passeriformes; Estrildidae.
GGGCGCAGCCCAGCGCCCGCCGGGGUGCGGAGGUGCGGGCUAUGGGGGUCUCGGAGCGGCGGAACGGCGGCCGUGCCGGGCACGGACAGACCCCGGGCGGCAGCGCGGGAUCCCGAGCCCGCCGCCGGCGCUCGGAGCCGCGGGGCCGAACGGGCGCGCGGAGCGGGGCGGGGUCGGCGCGGCGGCGUGUGGCGCCCUCUUGCGGCGCGGAUCCGCGGCUGCAGCCGCCGCUCCCCCGGCGCUUCGCGGGGCGAAGUGAACGCGUGAGGGAGGAGCGGCUGCGGCACCGUCCUGUCACCGGCACCGCGCCCCGGCUGCUCACCCGCGGGCACCGUCCCGUCGCCGGCAUCGCGCUUCGGCUCCUCAGCAGCCGCGGGGAGCCGCGCGGGUUGGACGGGAGGCUGGCAGGGGCGCGGGGAAGGCGCCGGCCCAGCCGCCCUCAGUUCCCCUCAGGCGGGUCUCGGCGCCGCCCGUUCGCCGUGUGGGGCCGCGGCGCCGCCUUUGGGCCCUGCCGCUGCUGAUGCCGCCCCAGGGCGAGUUGUGCACCUCAGUUCACCUGGGAUUGACGGAGCCUGCGUGUGCUUACAGUGUCUUAGAAAACUAUUUCUGAUUUUAAAACUGUUAAUUAAACUGUUUCAACAGUUAAUCUAGCAGUUCAGGAAGCUCACAGAGGAGGUAAACACAAAUGAGAAAAAAAUCCCAAAGCCCAGAUGUUUUAGAGGUGAUAGGACCGCAGAGAAAGUAGGUAAGAGCAUGCUACUCCAUGUGGUGAGCCUGCAGGUAGCAAUGUCAGCCCUGGAACAAGUUUUAAAUCUCUGGGGUGCUAAUCUCACACUGGUUCUGUAAAGUCAUUCUGAACUCAUAGGAGCUCAAUUAUUCAUGGAAGUACAGCACUUGAUAGCUCAAAAUGGCACAUUCGGUCUAAAAAUGUAUUCCAGAGAGCAGAAAACAAUAUUAGCAAUAGGAGUCACCCUCAAAAACAUGAAAGUACAUCAACACCACAUAAAUAUGAUCAAGGUGAGACAAACGCUGCUUUAAACAGCUUUCAAACAUAUUGUGAAGCUUAGUGCAAGUCAGUUUUACAAAACCACAAAGCUGAAGGAAAAUAUUUAAGUUUGACAAAGGAAAGGUCCAUCAGCAAUUGUUACCACUCUGGUUCUGUUACAGCCUGUGUUUUAGGCUUGCAAGCUCCCUCUUGCUGCAGUUAAGGUAAAUCCACAGAGCUUUGCUAGGAACACUUUUGACUUUAUUUGAAUUGUGGACACUCACCCUCAUCAAAAUGCAUAUAUCAAAUGCAUUUUCAGUUUAUCAAACCACAGUAAACCACAGAGUGCAGUUCAGAGCAUGGAAGCAGCACAAAAGGUUUUAUCACCUUUUCACAAAGUGUGAAGAGGCAAAGGGCAUACAAUAUUAUUAAAUAUAUAUACACAUACCUACAUAUGUAUAUAUGCCUACCUUUAUGUUCAAUUUUUUUGUUUAAUUGUUUUGUACAGACUUGGCUUUUCCCAUCAUACAGAAGAAACAAUGGAAGAAAACAUGUCAGGAAAUUGUGAAUAAACCUGCUGCCAUUCUAUUAGGGGUGCAAAAUCUACUAUUCAAAGCUGAACUUAUGGAGGCUGCUACCCUCUCCAGACCCUGCAAGGCCACACUCCACACUCAAGAGAGGGUCCAGUGAUCUGACUGUUUUGAGGCAGUCUGGGAGGUAUGUUCACUGCUGAGCUGAUGAACCAAACUGUUUGGCCAGCCUUGUCUCACGAACCUGUUUGACAUUUCAAAGGAGUUAUUUGGAGGUCAAUGCAGCACAGAGAUUUAAACAGCCUUCCUGUGAGCUGAGAGGAAACAGAAGAACACAGAAAUGACAAGGGCAACAGAGACUGGAAUCGCGGCCUUGCAUGUUACUAUGUGAAAGAACACACAGGUUAGGAAGAGGUUUAAAAGUGAAGGUUGAAAAAUAUCAUGCAAUCAAGAAUAGCCAUGGUGUAGAAGAAGCUUCUCUUGAUGCAGUAUUGCAGCCAGGAAAUAGGAUAAUACUGCAUGAAGAAAAGAAUGAAAUGUAUCAUCAUUUUUUUUUUUUUAAGAGAGAUUAAGUUGUAUGCCACACAGAGAAAACCACAUUGUUGUAAGCUUAUCAUCAUGGUAGUAAAAGGCCAGGAAAAAACCCAAACCAAACAGAAAAGCCAACAAACCAAAACACCCCAAACUGCUCUUUAUGUAAAUAUUACGGCUGUUCACAGGUAACUUACGUGUGUAAAAGUACCUCUAAACCACAAAAAAUACUUUAGUCAUCACUUCUUUUAAUAACAGGUUGGACAGUAUCUCUUUAGUAAGGGAUGAUAACAAUAACUCAUUUGUAAAACUGGUAAUAUUGUCAAGUAUUGGCAAGUUGUAAGGCGAAUCCUGUGUAGCUUCUAUUUUAGUUAACAGAGCAGACACUUAUUGUUUGUUUGAAAAAGCUGGCACAGCUCAGGGUAACUAUUAGUGAUGUUGAAAUUGUGAUGCUUUUAAUUCUGUAGGGUGGGUGUAUAAAAUAAUAUCGUUGGGUUUUAUAUCUAUGGACUGCCUUGAACAUGCCUACCAAGUGCAUUGA